Alosa sapidissima (American shad) is the source of this 449-nucleotide long non-coding RNA. RefSeq lists it as uncharacterized. The transcript has 2 exons. Lineage: Eukaryota; Metazoa; Chordata; Actinopteri; Clupeiformes; Clupeidae. The record is from RefSeq and is a predicted model, not a curated record.
UAACUAUUGAAUUGUUGUUGUUUUUUUUUUUAUGUUGCUUUGGACAAAAAAAAUGUCUCCCAAAUCCCAUAACCAUAAACCUGGAUCUUAAAAUCAGCUGCAUCGUGGGCCGGCGGCUUACUGGACCAAAGUUGCAUGGCUGUUUUUUCCUCUCACAUACACUAGUAGUCUGUGCAGGACUUUACAAAGCAAAAUAUUAGGCAGGAUCUUACUUGGAUUCCUGCAUCAUUAUGGCCAGGAUAUCGUAGUUCCGGUUUCCAGGCAGUUUAACCAGAGACUUUCUAAUGACGAGACACGGCACUCAAAGAAUCUCCUAUAGAAAUGCAUGGGGUUAGUUUGUAACGCCAAUAUGGCAGUACAGUAUCCCGCCCCUUUCGUGGCCAAAAGUCAACAUGUGAAUACAUUGUACCAAUCGUGUGGUGUGUUGUGAAUACAUUGUGUCAAUCAUG